RNAcentral lists this transfer RNA (72 nucleotides) under Camelus bactrianus (Bactrian camel). It matches the Rfam family "tRNA". From Rfam's summary of the family: Transfer RNA (tRNA) molecules are approximately 80 nucleotides in length. Their secondary structure includes four short double-helical elements and three loops (D, anti-codon, and T loops). The record is from Rfam by way of RNAcentral. Lineage: Eukaryota; Metazoa; Chordata; Mammalia; Artiodactyla; Camelidae. RNAcentral also lists the same sequence under 2 other names.
GGGGGUAUAGCUCAUUGGUGGAGCACGUGCUUAGCAUACACAAGGUCCUGGGUUCAAUCCCCAGUACCUCCA